ACAAUUCCUGUCUUGAUAGUCUCUCUCCUCAUCCUAAUCCUUGGAAGUGCAGUGAAUCUAGGCAGUGUUGUGAAUGCAUCUAUCUCAACUGCUAGUGUUAUAGUCUACUUCUGUUGCUUUGUUAUGGGAUUUGGACCGAUUCCUAACAUACUCUGUGCAGAGAUCUUCCCAACUCGCAUUCGUGGCCUUUGCAUUGCCAUAUGUGCCCUCACAUUUUGGAUUGGUGACAUAAUUGUUACCUAUACACUUCCAGUUAUGCUGAAAUCUGUUGGUCUUUCUGGUGUUUUUGGGUUGUAUGCAGUCGUG
RNAcentral lists this unclassified non-coding RNA (306 nucleotides) under Hevea brasiliensis (rubber tree). The record is from RNAcentral. Lineage: Eukaryota; Viridiplantae; Streptophyta; Magnoliopsida; Malpighiales; Euphorbiaceae.